RNAcentral lists this ribosomal RNA (255 nucleotides) under uncultured bacterium. Its description in RNAcentral is "partial 16S ribosomal RNA". It matches the Rfam family "Bacterial small subunit ribosomal RNA", at positions 524 to 776 of the family's 1533-position model. The record is from RNAcentral.
UACGAAGGGGGCUAGCGUUGUUCGGAAUUGACUGGGCGUAAAGCGAGCGUAGGUCGCUCGACAAGUCAGUGGUAGAAAGCCCAGAGCUUAACUCUGGAACUGCCAUUGAACUGUCGAGCUGGAAUCUCAGAGGGGAUAGCGGAAUUCCAAAUGUAGGGGUGAAAUCCGUAGAUAUUUGGAGGAACACCGGUGGCGAAGGCGGCUAAUCUGGAUGAGUAUUAGACACUGAGGCUCGAAAGCGCGGGGUCAAACAGG